CCAUGUAAAGCACCCCUUAACAAAGGAAAAAACCAAAUGAAGCCUGCCCUAAUGUCUUUGGUUGGGGCGACCGCGGGGAAAUACAAAACCCCCAUGUGGAGUAGGAAUACACAUUCCUAAACCCAAGAGCUCCCGCUCUAAUGAACAGAAAUUCUGACCAAUAAGAUCCGGCACACGCCGAUCAACGGACCGAGUUACCCUAGGGAUAACAGCGCAAUCCCCUUAAAGAGCCCUUAUCGACAAGGGGGUUUACGACCUCGAUGUUGGAUCAGGACAUCCUAAUGGUGCAGCCGCUAUUAAGGGUUCGUUUGUUCAACGAUUAAAG
Molecule: ribosomal RNA, 325 nt
Filed under: Pagrus major (red seabream)
Lineage: Eukaryota; Metazoa; Chordata; Actinopteri; Spariformes; Sparidae
Description: partial 16S ribosomal RNA
Rfam family: Bacterial large subunit ribosomal RNA
Source: RNAcentral